RNAcentral lists this ribosomal RNA (265 nucleotides) under uncultured archaeon. RNAcentral's name for it is "partial 16S ribosomal RNA". It matches the Rfam family "Archaeal small subunit ribosomal RNA", at positions 719 to 982 of the family's 1478-position model. The record is from RNAcentral.
ACACGACUACAUUAGAUACCCGUGUAGUCCUAGCCGUAAACGAUACUCGCUAGGUGUCGGCCACGGUGCGACCGUUGUCGGUGCCGUAGGGUAGCCGUGAAGCGAGCCACCUGGGAAGUACGGCCGCAAGGCUGAAACUUAAAGGAAUUGGCGGGGGAGCACAACAACGGGUGGAGCUUGCGGUUUAAUUGGAUUCAACGCCGGAAAUCUUACCGGGACCGACAGCAACAUGAAGGCCAAGCUGAAGACUUUGCCGGAUUAGCUG